GAGGUAUCUGCACCCCCAGGUUGAUAGCAGCGUUACUCACAAUGUCCGGGACAUGGAGACGGGCUCAGUGCCCACCGACAGGCAAAUGGAUGAAGAAGGUGUGGUGUGUACAUACAUGGAAUAUUAAUCAGCAGGAAGUUCCGCCAUUUGCAAUAACACGGAUGGACCCUGGGGACGUUAUCCUAAAUGAGAUCAAUCAGACAGAGAAAGACAAAUAUUAUAUAAUUUCUUAUUUGUGGCAUCUAAAAAAACUGAACUCAUAGAAACAGAGGAUAGAUUGCCAGAAGGGAGGGGGAGUGAAAUGGUGAGGGUGGUCGAAAAGUACAAACUUUCAGUAACGAGAUAAAAUUUUUUAGAAAUGUGUGUCGGGAAAAAAUACUGACAAAACAGCUGGAUGUAUGAGCUGUUGGUAUUUUUCAGCCUAAAGUAAGGCACGUUCGUUUACAGAAUUGGAACGAAACAGUAAAGUAUGGGGCCAGACCACCCAAAAGGAGUAACUGAAGAUUGCCCACCACGCACAGGCAGGGCUGGGGGCUGCACAUUUCCCGCUAAGCAUGCCUUCGUGGUCUUGCAAAGCCCCCGACCUCUGAGCGCCUCGGCAUGCUGGUUUGGAAAACGCGAAGUGUGGGGGAUUCUGCGCCUGAGGCCCGCACGAGCCUGCGGGAGGAGGAGCCGGCCGUGGGUUCCCACUGUCCGUCACUGCUCUGGGUUCACGUUCACCGUGGUGCACACGCAUGACUGCGUGCCGGCCAUGCCUCUCUUCCCGCGACCACAGCGGUCGUUCUGCGCAGGAAAACAGCAACUUCCAUGGCAAAACACGAAUCCCUCAUUUGAUAUAAUUCCAGAUAUGCUCCUUGUAAGUGGCACAUGGUCAGGUGUCCAGCUGCAGCUCAUCCCUCGAAUGGGGACGGCCCACGUGGGGUGAGCGUGUGCAGACACAGCGUGAGGACGCUCUCUGAGGCAGGUGUCCAGAAUCCCAGCACAGCACCUUCCGGGCAAGACGUCCACUGCCUUUCCCCGUCACAGCAAAAAUGCUAAAUUGUUUUUCCUGUUGGCAUGAGUGUCUGAAGAUGUGUCACCAGAAGAAGACCAAUAUUCAAAACGUGCUCCCUCCUCAGAUUGGCCCAGGAAGUCGGAGUUUACAGUGUGUAACCUGCAGGCCCGUUUUCCCACGUGUGCAGUGGGGACGGUUACUGGAGAAAUAGGUAGCAGCUGCACGCAAAAGGUUACGCCGAACCACCCAGCCCACCGACUGGCGGGAUGCACAGCUUCACCGUGGCUGCAGAAUCCCACCCCAGCCCCCCUCGCGGGGACCAGCAGGCCACCGUCAAGUGCGCGGGACGUACAGCCACUGCUACCCACAGGGAGACUGGCGUCCUCUACGUGGAACAUUCCGGAAGUUGUAGAAAGGCUAAGGUGCCCCUUCUACCUGAGAGUGUGGGCAGCAGGGUGCAUCCCCAGCCUGUGCUGCCUGAGCGAACCUUCCGGAAAGCCCUGCAGAUCUACAUCGGGGGUGAGGGAUGAAGAGGCGGAAUCAGGGCGCCCCCCGCCCCGGGCGGCACCUGAGCUGACCCAGUGUGCCCCCCCCCCACGGCUGGGGGAAUGGUUGCAUCCAGCGUGGCCUCGCUGCCCAUAUGCCAUUCAGCUCCUGUCUGCCUUUUUGUUUACACUGGGGACACAAUGGGAGCUACAGUCCUUCCAAUACAUCAUUUAUAAGUGUAUUCUACCUCUGAAUGUACAGACAGAGCUUGCUGUGGGUGAAUAAGCCCCUGUGAAUAUUGCCAAGACACUGUGCUUUGUUCAGCACUAUUCUUCACAAUAGAUACCACACUUUGGAAGUAAUUUUAAAAAGGGAAUCAAAAUAGUGGUACUUUUAGCCUUUGUUUCUUUUAUACCACAGUGCAUUCUCUGUCUCUCAUUCAGCCGCUCCCAUUAUACUGACAAAUUAAAUAAACCACUCCAUUGCAGAAAGGCUCGGCCAGGCAGGGGCUUCAUCCAUCCACUGCGGCCCCGGGAAGUGGAAAGAAACACUGAGGCGGUUUCUGCUACCAAUUGCAGCUAACUUCAGUCGAGGAGCCAAAAAAAAAAAAAAAAUGGGGGGUAGGAUUCAGAACUUGAGGGGGCUGGCAGCACCCAAGAGCUGGCCUCCGCGGCAGGUAAUGUCCACGGCGGAGAGGGCCGCGGCUUCUAGAAGCGCUGAGAGUCCCUUCCUGCUGCGUGGGCCUGGGAACAGGAGCAGACACCUCUGCGCAUGCCGCCCACAGAUGAGAAAUCCGGCUCGGAGACAUGUUGAAGGGCCGAAAUGCCUUCGCUAAAGAUGGACACACGAAGCCAUCCUCUGCAUGACUUGAAGAUUUGGUGGCAACAAGUGUGGGGAAGCGCGGAGACCGCGAGGAGCGAUUGUGAGGGGCUCUGCUGGAAUUUGGCAGCGCGGAGGCUUGGAGAACAGCCCCAUGCUGGCUCCCAUUCAGCAGGCCAGUUUUCCUCGAGCUUUGGAAGUUUCGCUCAGCCGUGCACUCAAUGGCUUCACAAAGCUGAUUACAAGCUUCAGCGCAUUCCUGAAGGAGCCAAAAGCGACGCAGGUGCAAACGAGCCGAGGGAGCCCCUUAUCCCGGUGACAGAAUGGGACAAGCUGGGAAAGGCUUGGACCACACAAAUCCAAGCUCACCAGGCAGCAGAAAGCCUGCCUUGGGAACCGGGGGUCAUUAUCCGCCCUAUUCAGCGGGGCCCCGGGACCCUGGGGGCCCGGAGGCCGGUCCGCGCGGGAGCGCCAGUGCGCCUUGGGGCUGUGGGGACCCCGCCAGGGCCUGGGGCUGGGCCGGGGCGCGGGGUGGAGGGCUGUGCCUGUGCACCCGCGGCUUCGGUAAAAUCUGUGCUCUGACGUGCCCGUGUCAACACCAGUAGGGACACAGGAGAAAAAGCGCGCAGGACGCAACCGGGUGUGUGGAUCCUGCAAAACGUUGGCUCAUCCAGCGUCCAGACCUCCCUGCCCUGUCUCUGCCCGGCCUGGCGCUGAGCGUCCCCGACGGGCCCCCAGGCCACUGACACAGCCGCAAGGGUCAUUCUGCGCCCUUUCUCUCCCAGCCCCCCUUUCCUUUCAGUCUUCCUAGAGACGGGGUCCCGCUGAGCACAGCCCGACGCGGUGCUGUGGGAGGGACAGUGGGGGUGGGGGUGGCAGGUCACGGGGUCGCCCCUUCGAACUGCUCUUGGCUUGGCCUCGGAUGCCUUUGCUGCGAGACUGAUUCCCUGGCGGGGAGGAGGGCCCGGCCCCUCUGGAAGAACGAAAGACGUCCCCCACUCACGCUCAGGGACCAGGGCCGGGGGACAGGGGGCCGCAGGCCGAGGAGGAGGGAUUCCAGGCAGAGGAGCUGGUACGCGGGCGUCCCCCUGGGGCCGCCACCGGCCCGCGUCAGCUUCGGGGCAGUGAGUCCCCGCGAGCGCGGCGUCUGCCUGGUGCGCGCCCCCUCGCUGCCCGCCGCGCGCGGGGCCUGGUGGCGCCCGGGGGUCCCCGCGGGCAGGGCCAGGGCAGGGCGCUCGCGCCGACGCUCUUUUGUCUGAUAACUAAUUUGAGUUAAUGCGAUCUUUAUGUAAAGCUAACAGCGGAUAAUUGUCUAUUUUCUCGCCAACAAUCUCCAUCACAAUCACUUAUCUGGAAACCUGCGCCGGAUUAAUCGUCAUAUUCCCGAGAUGAGCGUCGCUGCGAUCCGCAGCGAGCCCGGGUGGGGACCUGGGAACGCCUCCCCCACGCUUGCGGGCCCGGUGCGUGCGUCACGGCUACUGGCCACAAGCUGGGGGGCCCGGGGGCUGGUGCCCACGGGCGCGCACGGCGCCUUCUUCAGGGAUCGCUUCUACUUCUACUCGGGUGGGUUGGGGGACGGGGUGCAGGAGGAGGAGGGAAGGGGAGGAGGGGAAGAGGAAGAGGAAGAGGGGAGGCAGCGAGGUGGCGGUCCUGCGGGGCUGCAGGGCGGGGCGCAGCCUGUGUCUAACUGGGCCUCCUGGUCCACGCGGCGGGAGUCGUCAGCGCCAGAAUCAAGUCUCCUGACGGGGGAGAGAGCAUGCCCCCCCCCUUGUUUUCUGCAGAAAAGAUAUUCCCUUCCUUCCUCUGGGUCGCUCUAGCUUUGUGCCCUGCCCCAGCCACCCGUCACCGCCUUAGAUCCCUCCUUCAAGGUCCCCCAUAUCUGCAAAUUAUUGGCAAUAGUUACACCCCUCUGCCGUGAUUGAAAUACCCAAGGAGAGAGCCUGAGGUGUGGAGGCACGGCCCAGGGCCGCAAUCCCCACCAGGCCCCAGGGUGAGGGGUAAAAAUGCAGUCGGGGCCUCUGGGGGAAAGGCGCUUGAACGACAAAGAUUUUGUCUUUCUGAGCUGAAGUCAAAACAUCCGUGUC
Felis catus (domestic cat) is the source of this 4383-nucleotide long non-coding RNA. RefSeq lists it as uncharacterized. The record is from RefSeq and is a predicted model, not a curated record. NCBI's taxonomy places the organism in Eukaryota, Metazoa, Chordata, Mammalia, Carnivora, Felidae. The transcript is spliced from 3 exons.